Molecule: ribosomal RNA, 440 nt
Filed under: uncultured bacterium
Lineage: Bacteria
Description: partial 16S ribosomal RNA
Rfam family: Bacterial small subunit ribosomal RNA
Source: RNAcentral
CCUACGUGAGGCAGCAGUGGGGAAUAUUGCACAAUGGGGGAAACCCUGAUGCAGCGACGCCGCGUGAGUGAAGAGGUAAUUCGUUAUGUAAAGCUCUAUCAGCAGGGAAGAAAAUGACGGUACCUGAGUAAGAAGCCCCGGCUAACUACUUGCCAGCAGCCGCGGUAAUACGUAGGGGGCAAGCGUUAUCCGGAUUUACUGGGUGUAAAGGGAGCGUAGACGGCAGUGCAAGUCUGGAGUGAAAGGCGGGGGCUCAACCCCCGGACUGCUCUGGAAACUGUACGGCUGGAGUGCAGGAGAGGUAAGUGGAAUUCCUAGUGUAGCGGUGAAAUGCGUAGAUAUUAGGAGGAACACCAGUGGCGAAGGCGGCUUACUGGACUGUAACUGACGUUGAGGCUCGAAAGCGUGGGGAGCAAACAGGAUUAGAUACCCCAGUAGUC